This 1450-nucleotide long non-coding RNA is filed under the name Homo sapiens (human). RNAcentral describes it as "long intergenic non-protein coding RNA 710". Lineage: Eukaryota; Metazoa; Chordata; Mammalia; Primates; Hominidae. The record is from RNAcentral.
GCCAUUUUCUGACAUUUGAAAAGAUCUGAAGAUACGCCCCUUGGAUGCCUGCAGAGAAGCUCUGGGGCUUCAGUCAAUGACUCAGGGUAGCCACCGAACAUGAUGCUCGGGCAGUGGGUGCCACCUGGACUCCACUCUCCCCUCUCUCUGGGAUCAUAGAGUCCAAGGUGUUCUGUGGCCUCUCGGCCAAUCCCAGCAGCUCAGCGUGCAGAAGACCGAGGAGCCAUUGGAAUUCAACACAACACGAAAUAAUCAACAAAUUCGGGGAAUGUUAAUCUGACCAUCACCAGUUACAAAUGAUGUUUCAUGCUACCUUCUAUUCCUGCCUUCAUAAAUCAAGCUCUAAAUCUCCAGGAAAAAAUGUGCUCAGGAUGGCCAGAGAAAUGUCCUUCCAACUGUGCAUGGAAAGCAAGGACAGCAAAGCCUUCCAGACCUGCCUGUGACAUGCACUGCACAUUCUAAAGAUGCCUAUGCAAUGGAAAACACCACUGUCUGCUCCAGCACAGCUGCCAUUCUUCCAUCUUAUCGACCUUAAUGCAACAACUCCUCACAGGCAGAGAUUUUAAAAUGUGUUCUUGGCAGAAGAGAGACUCAAAGAUGGGACAAAUGUGUCAUUUAAAUGCCUGUUAAAAUGGAAACAGACAUAGUAUAGUCAGAGGAUUGUGGCAGCUAAGAACAUAGUCUCUGGAGCAAAUCUGCAUGGGUGGCAAUGCCAAGCACAUGAGGUCCUAGUUGUAUGAACUUAGGAAAAGAAAAAGAGAACAUAUAUCCCCCUACCUUUUGAUUUCCAACAGUCUACUGAGAGGCCAAGAUUAUUUGCAGGGAAAGAAAAGGGGUCAAAAUGUUUUGCCAGUAACUCCCAAAUCAUCUACAGCCAAGGAGAAAAGUGUUUCAAGACAGAGGUGCUCAAUGGUAUCAAAUACUGCCAACAGACCAAGUAAUACAUGCAUUGAAGUGUCUACUGGAUCUAGCUAUAUGAAUUUUUAAUUUAGGACACUUAGGCCAUACUGAAGCAAGGUGACAAAAUGAAUAGCUACAAUGUCUCGUGAAUCUUGGGUUUCCAUUCACCCUGGUAUUCAAGAGAAAUUCUUGCAUCAUGGAAGUUGCAGUUGGAUAGGACUUUCUCAGCUGAACACUGUCAUCUGCCAGAGCUUCAGGCAAGAACCCAGAACAGAUGAAACCCCAGACAUGACAAAAUAAGCCAAAGAAUACCAGGCCAAGGUGUGAAAGGCCAGAUGAGAACAAGCAGCGUACACGAUUCUGUUGCCAACAGAUCUCCCCUAACAGUGUCGUGCACCAAAUUUCCACAGUGAAUGUCAGGAAAAAAUGGCAAUUGAGGUGGGUGGUCAAAAGAGAAGCACAGUCUAUGAUGAAGUCACCCCAGAGAAGUCCUUUUUCCGUUUUCUCCUGAGAAAUUACCAGAAGAAAUUAAAAUCCUUUUGAGUAUUGC